AGUGAACGCUGGCGGCAGGCCUAACACAUGCAAGUCGAGCGGCAGCGCGUCCGACCACCCUCGGGUGGUCGGAUGGCGGCGAGCGGCGGACGGGUGAGGAAUGCAUCGGAAUCUGCCUCGUUGUGGGGGAUAACGUAGGGAAACUUACGCUAAUACCGCAUACGACCUACGGGUGAAAGUGGGGGACCUUCGGGCCUCACGCGAUGAGAUGAGCCGAUGCCGGAUUAGCUAGUUGGCGGGGUAAAGGCCCACCAAGGCGACGAUCCGUAGCUGGUCUGAGAGGAUGAUCAGCCACACUGGAACUGAGACACGGUCCAGACUCCUACGGGAGGCAGCAGUGGGGAAUAUUGGGCAAUGGGCGAAAGCCUGACCCAGCAACGCCGCGUGGAGGAUGAAGGCUUUAGGGUUGUAAACUCCUUUUGUGGGGGAAAAGAAUGGAUGGUACCCCAAGAAUAAGUCACGGCUAACUACGUG
RNAcentral lists this ribosomal RNA (474 nucleotides) under uncultured bacterium. Its description in RNAcentral is "bacterial SSU rRNA". It matches the Rfam family "Bacterial small subunit ribosomal RNA", at positions 30 to 507 of the family's 1533-position model. The record is from RNAcentral.